RNAcentral lists this ribosomal RNA (484 nucleotides) under uncultured bacterium. RNAcentral's name for it is "partial 16S ribosomal RNA". It matches the Rfam family "Bacterial small subunit ribosomal RNA", at positions 29 to 507 of the family's 1533-position model. The record is from RNAcentral.
AUUGAACGCUGGCGGCAUGCUUUACACAUGCAAGUCGAACGGCAGCGCGGGCUUCGGCCUGGCGGCGAGUGGCGAACGGGUGAGUAAUACAUCGGAACGUGCCCAGUAGUGGGGGAUAGCUCGGCGAAAGCCGGAUUAGUACCGCAUACGACCUGAGGGUGAAAGCGGGGGAUCUUCGGACCUCGCGCUAUUGGAGCGGCCGAUGGCAGAUUAGCUAGUUGGUGGGGUAAAGGCCUACCAAGGCGACGAUCUGUAGCUGGUCUGAGAGGACGACCAGCCACACUGGGACUGAGACACGGCCCAGACUCCUACGGGAGGCAGCAGUGGGGAAUUUUGGACAGUGGGCGAAAGCCUGAUCCAGCAAUGCCGCGUGUGUGAUGAAGGCCUUCGGGUUGUAAAGCACUUUUGGCGGGAACGAAAAGGACUGUGCCAAUACCACGGUUCGAUGACGGUACCCGCAGAAUAAGCACCGGCUAACUACGUG